This 253-nucleotide ribosomal RNA is filed under the name uncultured bacterium. RNAcentral's name for it is "partial 16S ribosomal RNA". It matches the Rfam family "Bacterial small subunit ribosomal RNA", at positions 524 to 776 of the family's 1533-position model. The record is from RNAcentral.
GACGGAAGGUGCAAGCGUUGCUCGGAAUCACUGGGCGUAAAGGGUGCGUAGGCGGCCGUGCAAGUCUGGCGUGAAAGCCCCGGGCUCAGCCCGGGAAGUGCGCUCGAAACUGCGCGGCUCGAGUGCCGGAGGGGAGAGUGGAAUUCCUGGUGUAGCGGUGAAAUGCGUAGAUAUCAGGAGGAAUACCGGUGGCGAAAGCGAGUCCCUGGACAUUUCCUGACACUGAGGCACGAAAGCUAGGGGAGCAAACAGG